UCUUGACAUCCAGAGAACUUGGCAGAGAUGCUUUGGUGCCUUUCGGGGAACUCUGAGACAGGUGCUGCGUGGCUGUCGUCAGCUCGUGUUGUGAAAUGUUGGGUUAAGUCCGCAACGAGCCGCAACCCCCUAUCCUUUGUUGCCAGCGAUUCGGUCGGGAACUCAAAGGAGACUGCCGGUGAUAAACCGGAGGAAGGUGGGGAUGACGUCAAGUCAUCAUGGCCCUUACGAGUAGGGCUACACACGUGCUACAAUGGCGCAUACAAAGAGAAGCGACCUCGCGAGAGCAAGCGGACCUCAUAAAGUGCGUCGUAGUCCGGAUCGGAGUCUGCAACUCGACUCCGUGAAGUCGGAAUCGCUAGUAAUCGUAGAUCAGAAUGCUACGGUGAAUACGUUCCCGGGCCUUGUACACACCGCCCGUCACACCAUGGGAGUGGGUUGCAAAAGAAGUAGAUAGCUUAACCUUCGGGAGGGCGUUUACCACUUUGUGAUUCAUGACUGGGGUGAAGUCGUAACAAGGUAGGCGUAGACGU
Molecule: ribosomal RNA, 533 nt
Filed under: uncultured bacterium
Lineage: Bacteria
Description: bacterial SSU rRNA
Rfam family: Bacterial small subunit ribosomal RNA
Source: RNAcentral